GGGCGCGUAGCUCAAUGGUAGAGCAGUCGACUUAUACUCGACCGGCUGUAGGUUCGAGUCCUACCGCGCCCA
This 72-nucleotide transfer RNA is filed under the name Candidatus Adlerbacteria bacterium. Its description in RNAcentral is "tRNA-Ile". It matches the Rfam family "tRNA". From Rfam's summary of the family: Transfer RNA (tRNA) molecules are approximately 80 nucleotides in length. Their secondary structure includes four short double-helical elements and three loops (D, anti-codon, and T loops). Lineage: Bacteria; Candidatus Adleribacteriota. RNAcentral also lists the same sequence under 1 other name. The record is from RNAcentral.